GGGUUAGUAGGUUGGUCAUGCCCCUGGUAUGUACUGGUCUCACUGAUUCCUCCUUCCUGAUGAGCCGUAAUGCCAUUAAUUUGGUGUCGCGGGGAAUUUGGACUGUUACUUUGAAAAAAUUAGAGUGUUUAAAGCAAGCUAACGCUUGAAUACAUUAGCAUGGAAUAAUAAAAUAGGACCUUGGUUCUAUUUUGUUGGUUUCUAGGAUUGACGUA
This 215-nucleotide ribosomal RNA is filed under the name Campeiostachys nutans. Its description in RNAcentral is "Elymus nutans partial small subunit ribosomal RNA". The stretch from base 40 to 215 matches the Rfam family "Eukaryotic small subunit ribosomal RNA", at positions 686 to 864 of the family's 1831-position model. Lineage: Eukaryota; Viridiplantae; Streptophyta; Magnoliopsida; Poales; Poaceae. The record is from RNAcentral.